AUGUCACAGAGGCAGGCGCUGAGGCCAGGGGAGACGGGCACACACCGCCCAGCAGGCAGGCAGGAAGGGACUUCCACUCUGCUGCCCUGCAAGGAGCCAGGACACGGGUCCUGCACUAGCCCCGGGGGCCGAGGCCUGCCAACAUCCACAGUGGGCUGCAGGAGUCAGGCAGCGUGUGGCUGGGCGGGCAGCUGGCAGGCCAGCAAGGAAGGGAGCGAGGCCAGGUGUCCAGAUGUGCCCCAGGCCGUCCCAGAAAGCGGGCUAACCUGCAGCUGCUGGCUCAGACCUCUCCAGAACCGGGCUGGCUGGGAGAAAGACGCUGUCUUGAGCCACUUGCCACGGUGCGGGACGCGGUGCCUGGAGGCCGGCCCAGAGGGAAGCGAGGGCAGACAUCCUGGGUCACCUGGGACAGCCACGCCCUACACAAGGUCUACCCUGGACUUUUUAGUUACAGGAGCUGCGGUGCUUUCUCUUCUGCCGAAGCCAGGUUGAGUACACACGAGCAGUGGGUCCUGCACCCCCUCAGUACGGACAGAGUUCUCGUGACCAUACGGCACACGGAGAGGGUCCCGCUCACGGCCGCCUCUUCCACACAGCCGGACACCCCCCACACACCGUGCCCUCCCGGCCUCCUGUCCCCCCACUCUGGCCUCAGCACUGCCUCCAGAAUGUGAUUCCCCAUUUCUAGCAACGGGGAGGGACUGACCGGCCACCCCCAGCAGGACUAAGGGUGCCUUGAAGCCAGGGGCCAGCCGUGACUGAGCGGAUGGUGUCUCUGGCAGGGGUGGGGCCCAGAGAGCCCGCCGUCCGCCCUCCUAGAGGCUGGCCCGGCUCACUGGCGGGCCCUGUCAGUGGUGCCCGCUGACGUGCUGGGACUGAAAAGGAGCUCUCCCAACCUCUGCUGUAGAGAGAAACCAGGAGGGGGUGGGGCCAAGGCUCGGAAACAAAGGCGUUGCCAUGGUUACCCCUGAAGAAACCGACCCCAGCAGGCGAGGGAGGUGUGUGCAGGCCCCCAAGCCAGGAGAGGACAAGGCCUGUUACCAUGGAGAUGCUCCAAAGCUUCCCUUGCGGGCCUGGCCAAAGUCCAGUGCAGGGUCCCGAAGCCACCACCCCUCACCCUGACCGGCUGGAGGAUUCUGACCUAGUGCAAAGGACAUGCCCUGGGGGAUUCAUGGCCCCCCUUGGCCAUGACCCCUGGGGUGAGUGCAGUAUCGGAGAGCCAGGGCCAGAGGAGAGGCUGGACAGGACAGUCUCCUGUCUGCCCACGGACCACACCUGGGCUGAGCUUGAGCGCCUGUGUCCUGGCCGUGGAGCGGGGUACAGUCUGCCCCCAGUUGGGCCCUGCAAUGGGGCAUCAAUCUACCUUCUUUUAACAGAUGCAGUAAAGUAAGUUCCGAGGGUCAGGUGCUGGUCCUCCCUGGCCCCCAUGGCCAGG
This is a long non-coding RNA of Suricata suricatta (meerkat), 1435 nucleotides long. Lineage: Eukaryota; Metazoa; Chordata; Mammalia; Carnivora; Herpestidae. The record is from Ensembl.